GUCGCCAUACCCCAGUGGUCAACGGGAAGUGGCUCAGAACCGUUAGCGUAGGUCCUCCCGAGGUUCGAAUUCUCGCGGCGACA
Molecule: transfer RNA, 83 nt
Filed under: Halorubrum tibetense
Lineage: Archaea; Methanobacteriati; Methanobacteriota; Halobacteria; Halobacteriales; Haloferacaceae
Also listed under: 1 other name
Description: tRNA-Leu
Source: RNAcentral